RNAcentral lists this ribosomal RNA (372 nucleotides) under uncultured organism. RNAcentral describes it as "bacterial SSU rRNA". It matches the Rfam family "Bacterial small subunit ribosomal RNA", at positions 526 to 896 of the family's 1533-position model. The record is from RNAcentral.
CGGAGGUCCCAAGCGUUGUUCGGAUUCACUGGGCGUAAAGGGUGCGUAGGUGGUGAGGUAAGUCGGAUGUGAAAUCUCCGGGCUCAACCCGGAAAUGGCAUUGGAAACUACCUUGCUGGAGGAUUUGAGGGGGGAUUGGAAUACUUGGUGUAGCAGUGAAAUGCGUAGAUAUCAAGUGGAACACCAGUGGCGAAGGCGAAUCCCUGGAAAAUACCUGACACUGAGGCACGAAAGCUAGGGGAGCAAACAGGAUUAGAUACCCUGGUAGUCCUAGCCCUAAACGGUGCUUGCUUGCUGUAAGAGGAAUCGACCCCUCUUGUGGCGGAGCUAACGCGUUAAGCAAGCCGCCUGGGAAGUACGGUCGCAAGAUUA